GAAAUGCGAUAAGUAAUGUGAAUUGCAGAAUGAAGUGAAUCAUCGAAUCUUUGAACGCACCUUGCGCUCCUUGGUAUUCCUUGGAGCAUGCCUGUUUGAGUAUCAUGAAAUCUUCAAAGUAAAUCUUUUGUUAACUCAAUUGGUUUCUACUUUGGUAUUGGAGGUCUUUGCAGCUUCACACCUGCUCCUCUUUGUUCAUUAGCUGGAUCUCAGUGUUAUGCUUGGUUCCACUCGGCGUGAUAAGUUAUCUAUCGCUGAGGACACUGUAAAAGGUGGCCAAGGUAAAUGCAGAUGAACCGCUUCUAAUAGUCCAUUGACUUGGACAAUACUUUUAUGAUCUGAUCUCAAAUCAGGUAGGACUACCCGCUGAACUUAAGC
RNAcentral lists this unclassified non-coding RNA (378 nucleotides) under plant metagenome. RNAcentral describes it as "partial contains 5.8S ribosomal RNA, internal transcribed spacer 2, and large subunit ribosomal RNA". The stretch from base 1 to 105 matches the Rfam family "5.8S ribosomal RNA", at positions 50 to 154 of the family's 154-position model. The record is from RNAcentral.